This 1206-nucleotide ribosomal RNA is filed under the name Staphylococcus pseudintermedius. RNAcentral's name for it is "partial 23S ribosomal RNA". It matches the Rfam family "Bacterial large subunit ribosomal RNA", at positions 1592 to 2799 of the family's 2925-position model. The record is from RNAcentral. Lineage: Bacteria; Bacillati; Bacillota; Bacilli; Caryophanales; Staphylococcaceae.
CGUUGAUUUCACACUGCCGAGAAAAGCCUCUAGCUAGAAUAACGGUGCCCGUACCGCAAACCGACACAGGUAGUCAAGAUGAGAAUUCUAAGGUGAGCGAGCGAACUCUCGUUAAGGAACUCGGCAAAAUGACCCCGUAACUUCGGGAGAAGGGGUGCUCUUUGAGGUUCACGCUUCGAAGAGCCGCAGUGAAUAGGCCCAAGCGACUGUUUAUCAAAAACACAGGUCUCUGCUAAACCGUAAGGUGACGUAUAGGGGCUGACGCCUGCCCGGUGCUGGAAGGUUAAGAGGAGUGGUUAGCGCAAGCGAAGCUACGAAUCGAAGCCCCAGUAAACGGCGGCCGUAACUAUAACGGUCCUAAGGUAGCGAAAUUCCUUGUCGGGUAAGUUCCGACCCGCACGAAAGGCGUAACGAUUUGGGCACUGUCUCAACGAGAGACUCGGUGAAAUCAUAGUACCGGUGAAGAUGCCGGUUACCCGCGACAGGACGGAAAGACCCCGUGGAGCUUUACUGUAGCCUGAUAUUGAAAUUCGGUACAGUUUGUACAGGAUAGGUAGGAGCCUUAGAAGCGUGAGCGCUAGCUUACGUGGAGGCAUUGGUGGGAUACUACCCUAAUUGUAUUGGAUUUCUAACCCGCAGCACUUAUCGUGCUGGGAGACAGUGUCAGGCGGGCAGUUUGACUGGGGCGGUCGCCUCCUAAAGAGUAACGGAGGCGCUCAAAGGUUCCCUCAGAAUGGUUGGAAAUCAUUCAUAGAGUGUAAAGGCAUAAGGGAGCUUGACUGCGAGACCUACAAGUCGAGCAGGGUCGAAAGACGGACUUAGUGAUCCGGUGGUUCCGCAUGGAAGGGCCAUCGCUCAACGGAUAAAAGCUACCCCGGGGAUAACAGGCUUAUCUCCCCCAAGAGUUCACAUCGACGGGGAGGUUUGGCACCUCGAUGUCGGCUCAUCGCAUCCUGGGGCUGUAGUCGGUCCCAAGGGUUGGGCUGUUCGCCCAUUAAAGCGGUACGCGAGCUGGGUUCAGAACGUCGUGAGACAGUUCGGUCCCUAUCCGUCGUGGGCGUAGGAAAUUUGAGAGGAGCUGUCCUUAGUACGAGAGGACCGGGAUGGACAUACCUCUGGUGUACCAGUUGUCGUGCCAACGGCAUAGCUGGGUAGCUAUGUAUGGACGGGAUAAGUGCUGAAAGCAUCUAAGCAUGAAGCCCCCCU